CGCGUAGGCGGUCGUGUAGGUGGGGGGUGAAAGGUGCGGGCUUAACCCGCAUAGGUCUCCCCAGACCGCGCGACUCUGAGGGCAGUAGAGGCAGGUGGAAUUCCGGGUGUAGUGGUGAAAUGCGUAGAGAUCCGGAGGAACACCGGUGGCGAAGGCGGCCUGCUGGGCUGUCCCUGACGCUGAGGCGCGAAAGCGUGGGGAGCGAACUGAAUUAGAUACUCAGGUAGUCCACGCCCUCAACGAUGGACACUAGGUGUGGGGGGGUAUCGACCCCUCCCGUGCCGGCGCUAACGCAGUAAGUGUCCCGCCUGGGGAGUACGGCCGCAAGGCUAAA
This 334-nucleotide ribosomal RNA is filed under the name uncultured bacterium. RNAcentral describes it as "bacterial SSU rRNA". It matches the Rfam family "Bacterial small subunit ribosomal RNA", at positions 568 to 898 of the family's 1533-position model. The record is from RNAcentral.